AGAGUUUGAUCCUGGCUCAGAACGAACGCUGGCGGCGUGCCUAACACAUGCAAGUCGUACGAGAAAUCCUGGGCAACUGGGAGAGUAAAGUGGCGCACGGGUGAGUAACGCGUGGGUAACCUACCCUUGAAUUGGGGAUAACUCCUCGAAAGGGGAGUUAAUACCGAAUAAUAUUCCAGUUCCCAUGGGAGUUGGAAUCAAAGGUGGCCUCUGCAUGCAAGCUAUCGUUUAAGGAUGGGCCCGUGUGCCAUUAGCUAGUUGGUAGGGUAAUGGCCUACCAAGGCAACGAUGGUUAGCUGGUCUGAGAGGAUGGCCAGCCACACUGGAACUGAGACACGGUCCAGACUCCUACGGGAGGCAGCAGUGGGGAAUCUUGCGCAAUGGGGGAAACCCUGACGCAGCAACGCCGCGUGGGUGAUGAAGGCCUUCGGGUCGUAAAGCCCUGUCAGGUGGGAAGAAACCUGUGGAUGCUAAUAUCAUCCACACUUGACGGUACCACCGGAGGAAGCACCGGCUAACUCCGUGCCAGCAGCCGCGGUAAUACGGAGGGUGCAAGCGUUGUUCGGAAUUAUUGGGCGUAAAGCGCGUGUAGGUGGUUGGGUAAGUCAGAUGUGAAAGCCUCCUGCUUAACAGGAGAAGUGCAUUUGAAACUGCUCGGCUGGAGUACGGGAGAGGAGAGUGGAAUUCCCGGUGUAGAGGUGAAAUUCGUAGAUAUCGGGAGGAACACCAGUGGCGAAGGCGGCUCUCUGGUCCGAUACUGACGCUGAGACGCGAAAGCGUGGGGAGCAAACAGGAUUAGA
RNAcentral lists this ribosomal RNA (800 nucleotides) under uncultured bacterium. RNAcentral describes it as "bacterial SSU rRNA". It matches the Rfam family "Bacterial small subunit ribosomal RNA", at positions 8 to 782 of the family's 1533-position model. The record is from RNAcentral.